Molecule: long non-coding RNA, 2028 nt
Organism: Taeniopygia guttata (zebra finch)
Lineage: Eukaryota; Metazoa; Chordata; Aves; Passeriformes; Estrildidae
Source: Ensembl
UUUCUUUGUUGAAGAAAACUAGAAACCAAGAGGGAGUUCCUUUAAUGUCAUAGCUAAAAUUAUAAACUUGAGUAACUCCUCAUGUGCUCCCCUUGAAUACUUAUUAUACUCAACUCAUACAGACACAGAAGCAAUGUCUGUUUUGCAAAACCAAGAAUUCUACCAAGAAUUUUAAUUCUAGGCAGGUCUUUCAGGUUAUAAUUUGUCUGAAUAUCACAAACAUUCAAAUAUCUGUACCUGCAGCUAACUGUCCCAUACAGAUGAAAAGGCUGUGACUACCUUAAACAAGAAAAGAGAUCCCCUCAAAAAACAUUCAACCUAUUUUUUCAGGUAAAUGUUCAAUCUUUACAGAAAUAAAGGAAACAGCAGCCAAAGGAAACUAUGGGUAGGUGGGUAAUUUUCAAGUUGUUGUCAAAAGCCAUUCAUACAUGAAACUUGUAAAAUUUGUCUAAAGCUUUGCUGUGUUCAGUCUCUAGGCAAAAACAGGGCUAGAACACAGGAAAUCUGCAUGGAUGGGAAUAAAGCAUUUUGUUAAAGAGAAGAUGAUUUAAAACUUGAACUUCUAAAUGUAACUACUAAAAGUGAUGUUUUAUAUAGAAAAAAAAAAUCUCAGAACCACCAGAAAACAUCAUUUCCUUUAAAGCAGUUAUGUAAGACAAUGUUUGGAGUCUCAUCUGGAAUGCUGUGUGUCUUUCUGGUCACUCACCUUUAAAAUGGAUUAACUCAAAAGAGCAAAAUUAGCAAAAGAGUCAUCAAAAUCCUACUUUAAAAAAGAGUGUUAUCCAUCAGAAGAAGGGUGGCAUGGGGCAUGAUCUCUGGUUCUCAAGAGUAAAUGCUAUAUAAAGCAGCAAAAUCAGUGCUGAUACAAGAAGAAAUCGGUAUAAAUUAAUCAGGAAUAAUCCUAGAAGCAAUCUUAUAAACUGCAUUUACCUGUUUGUAGUGCAGGUCUUCAUAUAAUUCUGGGGACAAAACACCUAAUUCAUUUUAAGAUAUACGUCCACACAUUUACAAAAGGGAUUAUACAACAUGGAUCCUUGUUGUAGCAGGCAAGGAAUAAGAUUUUUUUCUCCAUUCUUGUGUUCCUACAGAUCUGGAGCUGCGAUAACAUGGAAGGAGGGGGGCUACCUACUCUACAGUACAAGGUUCAGCUGUGCUGCCAUUGUUAUUACUCAUUAAUUGGAUUUAAUUGCUAUAUGAUUAAAGUAGAUAGUAAGAGUAAACACUAUUAAUUCCUGUGGAGUCAGGGGAGAAUUUCUUUAUAUCUUGCUGUAAACAAGUUAAUGUCAGGAGGCACUGAACGUGUAGCCUGCCUGAAUGUGUGGCAGAUCUACAUUUGAAAUGUGUAAAACUAUCUUUGGAGAAUCAGUAAAAUAAAUUUGGCAUUUUUUCAAUUAUGUAAUCACUGUAGUAAAGAUGAGGGACAGUUACUUUGUUUAUAUUUCAGCAGCUACCAUUUUCUCCGAGUUCAGUAUUCAAGUAAAUUUGCCUUAUCCUGUUAUCAUUAAUUAAAAUCAGUAGGAAUGGGCCACAUUUAGAUAUUUAAUAAUUUUUAAUCUUCAUACCUGGAGGACCUUCUAAGAAAUAUUUCCACAUAUUAUAAAUUUGCUUAACGAGUAUAACCUUCAUCCUGUUCAGCAUGCAUAAUUAGAGAUUAAUUUGUCGUGUCAGGGAUUUAAAAUAUUUUAGCUCACCUUUAAGCAACAACACAUUAAAUUAUAUAGGAGAAUGCAAUCGCCUUCAAAGACAAAGUUUUAAGAGUGGACAUUAUUCAAUAGUGAGAAUGGAAAUGGCCUGAGUUCUUUGUAGUAAUUCUUAAGUUUCUAUAUUGGAAUCCAAACUUUGCUCUUGCCUAUGCAGUUAAACAGGCAGAAAUAUGGUUUUUUUUUUAAAGAGAACACAAAAGGAAAAGGCAUAUAGGCAAUUCUGCCGGCCAAUUUUCGAAUUUAAGUGAGAGAUUAUUUAAAUGCCACGUUUCAUGGAGGAGCUGGUGCUCCAUCUCAGCUCCCUGGGUACAAUCCUCCGUGCCUG